Rattus norvegicus (Norway rat) is the source of this 433-nucleotide non-coding RNA. NCBI's taxonomy places the organism in Eukaryota, Metazoa, Chordata, Mammalia, Rodentia, Muridae. The record is from RefSeq and is a predicted model, not a curated record.
GGAUUUUCUCUGACUAUAGAAGCCCCCCAAGACAACCAGUGGAGAGGUUCCACUCCAGCCUUUGAUGCCUGGCUGCCCUAUUCACUGUGUGUGCCCAUCAUGAGAACUGGGCCAACAGGAAGUUCCCGGACAAAAGAAUGAAUCAAUGAUACAAGAUGAUGCUAUGAUUGCUGCUGCCAUCUGUGUCUGAAAUGUUCUACCUGGGGAGCAGGAAACGGUCUAUACCCAAGCACUCAGGUGGGGCGUCUUACCCUGUUGUCACAGAUGCAGGAGCGGUGAUUUGCAUGGGAAUCGUAGUAGUAGUUGAGCUGAGAGAGUCUGUAUUUACAAUAAAGAACUUUACAGUUGGAUUCACAGCUCCUGCCUAGGGGAAAAAAAACCACAGAAUUGAUAAUGAUUCUUUUAAAAUAAAACAGCCUCAUCAUUACAUAAA